RNAcentral lists this ribosomal RNA (334 nucleotides) under Wolbachia endosymbiont of Aphis craccivora. RNAcentral describes it as "bacterial SSU rRNA". It matches the Rfam family "Bacterial small subunit ribosomal RNA", at positions 1039 to 1372 of the family's 1533-position model. The record is from RNAcentral. Lineage: Bacteria; Pseudomonadati; Pseudomonadota; Alphaproteobacteria; Rickettsiales; Anaplasmataceae.
UGUUAGCAUGGCUGUCGUCAGCUCGUGUCGUGAGAUGUUGGGUUAAGUCCCGCAACGAGCGCAACCCUCAUCCUUAGUUACCAUCAGGUUAUGCUGGGGACUUUAAGGAAACUGCCAGUGAUAAACUGGAGGAAGGUGGGGAUGAUGUCAAGUCAUCAUGGCCCUUAUGGAGUGGGCUACACACGUGCUACAAUGGUGAUUACAAUGGGCUGCAAGGUCGCAAGGCUGAGCUAAUCCUAAAAAAUCAUCUCAGUUCGGAUUGUUCUCUGCAACUCGAGAGCAUGAAGUUGGAAUCGCUAGUAAUCGUGGAUCAGCAUGCCACGGCGAAGACGUU